Molecule: ribosomal RNA, 497 nt
Filed under: uncultured bacterium
Lineage: Bacteria
Description: partial 16S ribosomal RNA
Rfam family: Bacterial small subunit ribosomal RNA
Source: RNAcentral
GAUGAACGCUGGCGGCGUGCCUAAUACAUGCAAGUCGAGCGAACGGACGAGAAGCUUGCUUCUCUGAUGUUAGCGGCGGACGGGUGAGUAACACGUGGAUAACCUACCUAUAAGACUGGGAUAACUUCGGGAAACCGGAGCUAAUACCGGAUAAUAUUUUGAACCGCAUGGUUCAAAAGUGAAAGACGGUCUUUCUGUCACUUAUAGAUGGAUCCGCGCUUCAUUAGCUAGUUGGUAAGGUAACGGCUUACCAAGGCAACGAUGCAUAGCCGACCUGAGAGGGUGAUCGGCCACAGUGGAACUGAGCCACGGUCCAGACUCCUGCGGGAGGCAGCAGUAGGGAAUCUUCCGCAAUGGGCGAAAGCCUUACGGAGCAACGCCGAGUGAGUGAUGAAGGUCUUCGGAUCGUAAAACUGUGUUAUUAGGGAAGAACAUAUGUGUAAGUAACUGUGCACAUCUUGACGGUACCUAAUCAGAAAGCCACGGCUAACUACGUG